RNAcentral lists this long non-coding RNA (2018 nucleotides) under Marmota monax (woodchuck). Lineage: Eukaryota; Metazoa; Chordata; Mammalia; Rodentia; Sciuridae. The record is from RNAcentral.
GAGCUGCGCUGAAUUUCCAAGUUGUUCUUGCAUCCUCUUCCUCGAAUUGCCAGAAGUCCUGGACUUCAACUUUCAAAAUAGGUAUCUAGAGCCUGCCAUCUGCAUAGCCCUGCCCUGCCCUUUUCUCCAGGUGUAGGGCUGUCCCCCACCAUUUGUCAACUUAGGGAGCCCAGAGAACACGGGGCCGGGGACAGUCUGUCCUCAGGCUUCCCGUGGCCUUCAAGGUCCUCCUGGUCUUCUCUGCCCUCUGCAUCAGAACACUGGCCUCACAGCCAACUGGCUGCUACCUCGAGACCUUUGUACAGACUGUUCCUUGGCCUGGAACUGGCUGGCUGCCUGGCUCUCACUUCACUCCAGGUCUGCUCCAAUGUCACUUUCUCAGGGAUGCCACCUGCUCCUUGCUUCCUGAAAGAACUGGAAUUCCACUCCCACCCUGGCCUUGCCCGCUUCCCUCCACCCGCCACCUGCACCCAGGUGUUACAUUCCAAAGGGCAGGUCUUUUGCUGGACUUCUCAAUCCCAGCAGGAGCUGAAGGAGUGAAGUCUGUGGGUUUGCCAGCUGCUCACCUCUCUCAGCAUCUUUAAACUUGAUGGUUCUGCGCCUAGGCACCCGGGGACUGGCAGCCACCUCUGCCAGGAACCCUGAGCUGCAGAAGCCCAGGCUGCUGCCCCUGUUCCUGAGGACCAACUUCAGCUCUUGGUUCUCCUGAAUGAGCUGCACAAGCCGCCGCAGCUCCUCGUUCUCCUGUGCCAACCGCUGGAUCUCCUGCCGCAGGCCCUCAUAGCUGCUGAGGAGGGACAUGCCCAGCAGCACGUUGUGGGAGGUGGCCGGCGGCCAGCAGCCUGGCCGGGGACAGCAGACCCACCAUUAUGAGGUCAGUGGGCAGCCCUGCCCCCACAUUCCGGAGCGUCAGGGCCAAGGCCCAGCUGUCCAUCCACUGGCCCUGGGGCUCCGCCUACCUCUGGCUUCUGGCCUUGUGGCCUGGAUGACCAGGGAUGCCCAAACUGGUCCAGGCCUCUGGGUUCCUCCAGGAAGUGCCCUCCUGGAAGCUGGAAGCUUCUUUGUCCCAGCCUAGCCCACCUGUUCACACUCACUUGCCCCACCCACUUGGCCUCUGGCCACACACUUGUAGUGUUCAUGCAGGACAAAGAACUGGGCAACUGGGCUUGGCCUCUGGGCAGUUUCAGUCAGGGAGGGCAGCCAUUGGAGCUGUGCUGCAAGGGUGUUCCCUGUUGAGUGACGGCAGGAGCUGCCUAGCAUCUGACAGAGUGGUGAGCCAAAGAGCCAAUUAGGAGGAGCAGAGGAGGGGGCUACAGACAGAGACCGAAAGGGCUGGGCUUGUUGCAGGGGUGGCAGGCCAUGGCACUGUCACAUGGACAUAGUGGCAGGUGCUCUGAGGGAGGGAGUCCAUCUAGGACUAGAAGGACUCUAGGGAGCAGGUACCAAGGAGCCACACCAGAUGAACACUAGGGCCUGGGGACAGAAGGUUCUCGGGGCAGGUUCGGUCACCUGCAAGGGUGACAAUGGAUUUGUGUUUCAGAUCAGAUAAUGGACUUUCUUUUUUUAUGCAGUCUGUGGAGCUGCUUUGAUUUUUUGCCAUUUCUUACAUUGUGACGAUCAUUUAUCUCAUAUUGUUUCCUUUUUGUCUGCUUGAUGCAUGAAGUGUCCCAGCCUGUAAUCCCAGCAGCUCCAAGUGAGGAGUAGGAAGUAUGGUGGUUGGUUGGAGAUAUAAACUGGGGACUGCCUGCCCAGGUGUGCUUGCUGGCCAGGUCCCAUAGCAGCCCUUCUGCAGAAGGAAAGGUUGCCCUGCCCACCCACUUUCCAGCACGUGUUUAAUUUCUUGUGGUACCUCUUUACUUGUAACAUGGGGAGACUGAAGCAGGAAGAUUGUGAGUUCAAAGUCAGCCUCAGCAACUUUGCAAGGCCCUAAGCAACUUAGUGACACCCUGCCUCAAAAAAUAAAAAAUAAAAAAGGACUGGGGAUGUGGCUCUGGGGUUAAGCCCCCCUAGGUUCAAGC